GGGGCUGAUGGUCUAGUGGUAUGAUUCUCGCUUAGGGUGCGAGAGGUCCCGGGUUCGACUCCCGGUUAGCCCCUUCA
Non-coding RNA from Lichtheimia ornata, 77 nucleotides. Lineage: Eukaryota; Fungi; Mucoromycota; Mucoromycetes; Mucorales; Lichtheimiaceae. The record is from the annotation of a RefSeq genome assembly.